Molecule: non-coding RNA, 1144 nt
Organism: Aegilops tauschii subsp. strangulata
Lineage: Eukaryota; Viridiplantae; Streptophyta; Magnoliopsida; Poales; Poaceae
Source: RefSeq, a predicted model, not a curated record
CAACCUUCUCUCCUCUCCCAACCCACUCGCCGCCGGCCUCCCUUCCACCUCUCCUCCGUCCAUCCGCCCCCAUGCCCCCCGCCGCGUGCGCCACACCGGCGGCCGCGCGCCCUCCGCUCCCCGUCUCGCGCCGCUGCCCGCCCCUGCCCCCCUCCGCCCGCCGCGGCGCCAGCUCCUCCUCCUCUACGGCAUGCCGCUGCACCGCGGCCUCCUCCCCCGGGGCAUCGGCGUCGGCGUGGGACUGGACCCGCUGGAGCCGGCACUUCGCGGAGGUGGACCAGGCCGAGAGCUACGCGUCCGUGCUGCGCUUCCAGCUGGAGGAGGCCGAGGACUUCGCCGAGGCCGCCGCCCUCAAGCGCGCCCUCCUCGACGCCACCGCCGCCGACGCCGUCUCCCGCGUCAUGGCCGAGCUCAAGGUCCGCUCGCUCGCCGCCUCCUCGCCGAUUCCAGCCCUGAUUGUUAAUACCUAGGUACAAGGACCAGGGGAUGAUCUAUCUACAUACAAUUUUAUGGGACUACAGGUUUUGAGAUCUUUGCUUUCCCAUGCAACCAGUUUGGUGGGCAGGAACUUGGCAUUGAUAAGGAAAUUGUUCAGAUUGCUUGCAUGCCGAGUAUCUAAUUUCUGACAAGGGUUCUGGUAGCGACGAUGAUGGUCGUCGAGAGGUUCGUGGACUGGACGGUGUCGUGGCUGCCAAUGUACAGAGAAGCGAAGCUGCUGCUCAUUAUCUACCUCUGUCACCCCAGCACAUGGAGUGCGGGGAGCGGGGCACGUGUACGAUGGCUUCCUCCGUCCGCUGGUGGCGAGGCACAAGGACGACAUCGACCGGUCCAGAUGGAGCUGAGGGCCAGAGCGAGGGACGUGACUGCGUCGCAACUCAAGGCGGCGGCUACCGUUAGUCAGGUGUGGCUCUUCGAGGCUAUCCAAUGUGUUUCGUCGCAGCUGCAGGCCGCGAGAUCAGGCCGGGCAGGCGCCGCACAUUGACGAGUGGUCCAAUUUUCGGAUCGCGCCAUAACAACUUACGUAGGUAGUUGCUUAUGUAAUUGUGCGAUAGAAUGGAAUUAUACAUGAGUUGCUGCUACAAGGAGGAACGUAGUUGCUUAUGUAACUGUGCGAUAGAAUGAAAUUAUACAUGCGUUGCUACUA